GCCGGUGUAGCUCAGUGGUAGAGCGUUUCCUUGGUAAGGAAGAGGUCAUGGGUUCAAUUCCCAUCAUUGGCUCAA
Molecule: transfer RNA, 75 nt
Filed under: Lutibacter sp.
Lineage: Bacteria; Pseudomonadati; Bacteroidota; Flavobacteriia; Flavobacteriales; Flavobacteriaceae
Description: tRNA-Thr
Rfam family: tRNA
About the family: Transfer RNA (tRNA) molecules are approximately 80 nucleotides in length. Their secondary structure includes four short double-helical elements and three loops (D, anti-codon, and T loops). Further hydrogen bonds mediate the characteristic L-shaped molecular structure. tRNAs have two regions of fundamental functional importance: the anti-codon, which is responsible for specific mRNA codon recognition, and the 3' end, to which the tRNAs corresponding amino acid is attached (by aminoacyl-tRNA synthetases). tRNAs cope with the degeneracy of the genetic code in two manners: having more than one tRNA (with a specific anti-codon) for a particular amino acid; and 'wobble' base-pairing, i.e. permitting non-standard base-pairing at the 3rd anti-codon position.
Source: RNAcentral